AUGGAGAGCUACCUCAACGAGAACUUCGGGGGCGUCAAGCCCAAGCACUCGUCCCACGAGGCGCUGGGCCGAUGGCGCAAGGUCGUCGGCGUCGUCAAGAACCCCAAGCGCCGCUUCCGCUUCACCGCCAACCUCGGCAAGCGCUCCGAGGCCGCCGCCAUGAAGCGGACCAACCAGGAGAAGCUGCGUGUUGCUGUGCUUGUUUCAAAGGCUGCGCUUCAGUUCAUCCAUGGCCUCGCUCCCCAGAGCGAGUACACAGUCCCUGCUGCUGUCAAGGCAGCAGGCUAUGGCAUCUGUGCUGAGGAACUGAGCUCUGUUGUCGAGAGCCACGACAUCAAGAAGUUGAAAGCACAUGGCGGCACUGAGGGCCUCUUAUCAAAGGUGUCUACCUCAGAGUCGGAUGGCGUCAGCACAUCCAAGGACAAGCUUGCAUCCCGGCAGGAGAUCUUUGGCAUCAACAAAUUCGCCGAGACGGAGGCCCGCAGCUUCUGGGUCUUUGUCUGGGAGGCGCUCCAGGACAUGACACUCAUGAUCCUUGCUGCAUGUGCCUUCUUCUCGCUUGUCGUCGGCAUUGCCACCGAGGGGUGGCCCAAGGGCGCGCAUGAUGGCCUCGGCAUCGUGGCUAGUAUUCUUCUGGUUGUGUUUGUCACUGCGACAAGCGACUACCGGCAAUCCCUGCAGUUCAAGGACCUUGACAAGGAGAAGAAGAAGAUCACGGUGCAGGUCACCCGGAGUGGGUACCGGCAGAAGCUCUCGAUAUACGAGCUUCUCGUUGGUGACAUUGUGCACCUUUCCAUUGGUGAUCAAGUACCAGCUGACGGUUUGUUCGUAUCAGGAUUCUCAUUGCUGAUUAAUGAAUCAAGCCUGACUGGGGAGAGUGAACCAGUUGCUGUCAAUGCCGAGAACCCAUUCCUUUUGUCAGGAACUAAAGUGCAGGAUGGUUCUUGCAAGAUGCUUGUGACAACAGUCGGCAUGAGGACUCAAUGGGGUAAACUCAUGGCCACCCUCAGUGAAGGAGGGGAUGAUGAGACGCCAUUGCAGGUCAAGCUGAACGGCGUUGCAACCAUCAUUGGCAAAAUAGGCCUCGUCUUUGCUGUUGUCACAUUUGCAGUGCUCACUGAAAGCCUGUUCCGACGCAAGAUCAUGGAUGGCUCGUACUUGAGUUGGAGUGGAGAUGAUGCACUGGAGCUGCUUGAGUUCUUUGCUAUUGCUGUUACCAUUGUUGUCGUAGCAGUUCCUGAAGGCUUACCGCUCGCCGUGACCUUGAGCCUUGCUUUUGCCAUGAAGAAGAUGAUGAAUGACAAGGCACUUGUCCGACACCUGGCAGCCUGUGAGACCAUGGGCUCAGCAACCUCCAUUUGCAGCGACAAGACUGGCACACUCACAACGAAUCACAUGACUGUCGUCAAGGCUUGCAUCUGUGGCAAAAUUAAAGAAGUGGAUAAAUCUUCAAACACCAAGAGCUUAUUCUCUGAGCUACCGGAUUCUGUCAUGACAAUGCUCUCGCAGUCCAUAUUUAACAACACUGGUGGCGAUGUUGUCAUCAACCAGGAUGGCAAACGCGAAAUACUGGGCACACCAACAGAGACAGCAAUUCUAGAGCUUGGCCUGUCACUCGGUGGAGAUUUCCAGGCAGUGCGAAAAGCAACCACCCUCCUCAAAGUCGAGCCAUUUAACUCAGCGAAGAAGAGAAUGGGAGUGGUCAUCCAGCUGCCAGGGGGCGCAUUCCGUGCUCACUGCAAAGGUGCAUCAGAGAUCAUAUUGGCAUCUUGCAGCAAGUACCUGAAUGAUCAAGGCAAUGCCGUCCCCCUUGACAGUGCAACUAUUGCUCACUUGAAUGCCACGAUCGAGAGCUUUGCAAAUGAGGCACUUCGCACUCUGUGCCUUGCUUACAUUGAAGUUGCACAAGGGUUCUCAGCUAAUGAUGCGAUUCCUGAAGAGGGGUACACAUGCAUUGGCAUUGUUGGGAUUAAAGACCCAGUGCGCCCGGGUGUGAAGGAAUCCGUCGCCAUCUGCAGGUCAGCCGGUAUUACUGUCAGGAUGGUCACAGGCGACAACAUUAACACAGCAAAGGCAAUUGCCCGGGAAUGUGGCAUUCUGACUGAAGGUGGUCUUGCCAUUGAAGGCCCAGAUUUUAGAACUAAGAGUGCAGAAGAAAUGUUCAAAUUGAUACCAAAGAUACAGGUAAUGGCUAGGUCUUCACCACUUGACAAGCACACCUUAGUGAAGAAUCUCCGGACUACACAUGAAGAAGUUGUUGCGGUGACUGGUGACGGGACAAAUGAUGCACCUGCACUUCAUGAGGCUGAUAUUGGACUUGCGAUGGGCAUUGCUGGAACUGAGGUUGCGAAAGAGAGUGCCGAUGUCAUCAUUCUUGAUGACAACUUCUCCACCAUAGUCACAGUUGCCAAAUGGGGUCGAUCUGUGUACAUCAACAUUCAGAAGUUUGUGCAGUUUCAACUGACAGUCAACGUGGUUGCCCUCGUUGUGAACUUCUCGUCAGCCUGCUUGACAGGGAGUGCUCCCCUCACUGCUGUUCAGUUGCUGUGGGUCAAUAUGAUCAUGGACACACUCGGAGCAUUGGCAUUGGCCACAGAACCUCCAAACGAUGAACUGAUGAAGAGGACUCCCGUUGGAAGGAAAGGAAACUUCAUUAGCAACAUUAUGUGGAGGAACAUCAUGGGACAGGCAAUCUACCAGUUCUUUGUAAUUUGGUAUCUGCAGACCGAAGGAAAGACGUUGUUUGAACUUAAGGGUGAUAAUUCCGAUCUAGUCCUGAACACGCUCAUCUUCAAUUGCUUUGUGUUCUGCCAGGUGUUCAACGAGGUGAGCUCCAGAGAGAUGGAGAGGAUAAAUGUAUUCAAAGGCAUUCUAGACAACAACGUGUUUGUCGCGGUGCUCGGCAGCACGGUCGUAUUCCAGAUCAUCAUAGUACAGUUCCUUGGCGACUUUGCGAACACCACCCCUCUGUCGCUCAGGGAGUGGUUCUCCUGCAUUGUCAUCGGCUUCAUAGGCAUGCCCAUCGCCGCGAUAGUCAAGCUCUUCCCGGUGGGUUCUCAGUAG
This 3063-nucleotide ribosomal RNA is filed under the name Triticum aestivum (bread wheat). RNAcentral describes it as "partial small subunit ribosomal RNA". The record is from RNAcentral. Lineage: Eukaryota; Viridiplantae; Streptophyta; Magnoliopsida; Poales; Poaceae.